This 497-nucleotide ribosomal RNA is filed under the name uncultured bacterium. RNAcentral describes it as "bacterial SSU rRNA". It matches the Rfam family "Bacterial small subunit ribosomal RNA", at positions 34 to 518 of the family's 1533-position model. The record is from RNAcentral.
CGCUGGCGGCGUGCCUAACACAUGCAAGUCGAGCGGGACAUGCGACGGAGACGAAGUACUCGUACGGAGUCAAAGAUGUAAUGUCUAGCGGCGGACGGGUGAGUAACGCGUGAGCAACCUGUCCCUUACAGGGGGAUAACACAGCGAAAGUUGUACUAAUACCGCAUAAGACCACAGAGUGACAUCGCUCAGGGGUCAAAGGAGCAAUCCGGUAAGGGGUGGGCUCGCGUCCGAUUAGAUAGUUGGUGAGGUAACGGCCCACCAAGUCGACGAUCGGUAGCCGACCUGAGAGGGUGAUCGGCCACAUUGGGACUGAGACACGGCCCAAACUCCUACGGGAGGCAGCAGUGGGGAAUAUUGGGCAAAUGGGGGAAACCCUGACCCAGCAACGCCGCGUGAGGGAAGAAGGUUUUCGGAUCGUAAACCUCUGUCCCAGGUGAAGAGGAAGAGACGGUAGCCUGGGAGGAAGCCCCGGCUAACUACGUGCCAGCCGCGGC